RNAcentral lists this long non-coding RNA (559 nucleotides) under Lupinus mutabilis. RNAcentral's name for it is "partial ncRNA". Lineage: Eukaryota; Viridiplantae; Streptophyta; Magnoliopsida; Fabales; Fabaceae. The record is from RNAcentral.
GUGAUAUUACGAUUUUUAGAGCUAUGAAGUUACUACUGUUGAUAGUUCUGCUGGCAGUCGAGUCAUUUGCUAUCGACUUUACAAAUAUUGGUCAGAAAGAGAUUGUUGAUUACAUCAAGAAUAGGGCUGAUGUACUUUAUGGAGCCAAGUUGAGUGAACGAAACCUUCAGGAUUUGUUAAGCAGUGCUGUUUUCACUGGACUCGAAGAGGAAGCGUUAACAUUUGCUUAUGGCAAAUCAGUCGGAUCUGAAAUUAUACCCGAUGUUGAGGUUAACCCAAAAGAUUUACUAACCGGAUUAACUGCACUGGUUUCUGAUUCAACAACUGAAUCUGUUCCAUUGAAGAUAUUUUUAACUUCAGAUUCACAAGGAACAACAGACAUUCAAAUGGGUACUCUGACUACUAACCUGUGGGAAGAAAUUAUGUUACAAAUUUUUGUUACUAAGUCAUCUUCAAGUAAACAAUCUGUUGGUGAUUUUGUUGUCACAAGUGUACAAUCGGAAAAUAACGAUGUGACUAAUCUGGAUGGUUCUAUUACUAUUAAUUUAGGAGGUUCAAC